Molecule: transfer RNA, 71 nt
Filed under: Marmota monax (woodchuck)
Lineage: Eukaryota; Metazoa; Chordata; Mammalia; Rodentia; Sciuridae
Description: tRNA.Ala
Source: RNAcentral
GGGGUUGUGGCUCAGUGGUACAGUGCUUCUCUAGCACAUGAGAGGCCCUGGGUUUGAUCCUCAGCACCACA